GACAGAGGGGGCAAGCGUUGCUCGGAAUCACUGGGCGUAAAGGGCGCGUAGGCGGGAUGGCAAGUCAGUCGUGAAAUCUCUCGGCUCAACCGAGAAACGUCGGCUGAUACUGCCGUUCUUGAGGGAUGCAGAGGAGACUGGAAUUCCUGGUGUAGCGGUGAAAUGCGCAGAUAUCAGGAGGAACACCGGUGGCGAAGGCGGGUCUCUGGGCCGAUACUGACGCUGAGACGCGAAAGCGUGGGGAGCGAACAGG
This 253-nucleotide ribosomal RNA is filed under the name uncultured bacterium. Its description in RNAcentral is "partial 16S ribosomal RNA". It matches the Rfam family "Bacterial small subunit ribosomal RNA", at positions 524 to 776 of the family's 1533-position model. The record is from RNAcentral.